This is a long non-coding RNA of Conger conger (European conger), 1981 nucleotides long. RefSeq lists it as uncharacterized. The record is from RefSeq and is a predicted model, not a curated record. The transcript has 2 exons. Lineage: Eukaryota; Metazoa; Chordata; Actinopteri; Anguilliformes; Congridae.
AGAAAUAUAUCGUAAGACAAAGCUGGCAUGUCGCACAUUUAUAAAUUAUAAAUUACAAUUAUAAAACGUAAUAUUAGUUUGCUUGCAAGGUGGAUAGCUGCUUUGGCAAGCUGAACCGGAAUCAUACAGUAGAAUAGGUGUGUGCAGUACGACCAAAGUUUUGACUUUGACUUUUACUUGUGUUGUUUCAACUGUUGUUUCAUUGUAAUAUUUAUCAGAGAAAGAAGGAUCUCCAUGAAAUAGGAAUGGUAGGUUUGGGUAAGAGAUUCAAUGUGUUUAUGCAUGCUUUGUAGCUUUGUCCUGUCAUCCAUCCAUCGCUGCCUAGCUGUGGCUUUCAUCCUGCACCCCCUGGUAUACUGGCACUGGGCAAAUUUAUAGCAUUACUGUAGAUGCACUUUCUAAUGUACAUCACUAACAACCAUAAUAACUAUGGCACCUAUUUGGGCUGGGCUGCUUGUAAUCGUAGUUACACAGCACAAACACUCAGGGUUUUUUUUUUUUAACUUUAUUUUAGGUACGUCUCUGCAAAGGCAAUCCUGCUGUCAUAGAGGUCCUACACCCGCUCCCCCCGCCUCCACCUCCCACCACCGCUGCCGGAGAAGAGGAGGGACGGGCCCAAGCCACAGCCUCUGAGUUGAACCAGCGCACUCUCUCCCGGUGGUUCUCCCGGAGGUAGAAGGCGUGGGAGAGAGCUGUGCUUCAGCAGGACGUGGUGGGUAUUCGCGUCCCUGCCAUUGCUUACCAGCAGCUGCCUCCACCACGGCGGCUCCUUCAGGGUGACGAGGCGACCGGACAAGCGGCCUUCAUCUUUGUCACCCCAGAAGACCGAUCGCGCCAGGCCACCCAGCGAGGAAGGAACGCCCAGCCCUGGCCUGCCACCACCGUGCCCGCUGCUACAAUACCGCCGUUAGCCCCACGGAUGACAGUGUGAGGAGAAGUACAUCUGCCUAAAGUGCGGACAGCUGAAACAGCGGCAAUUUUGCCAUAGCCGUUUGGGCAACAUCGCGUUCUGCUCCACUGCUGCCGGCAAAUCGGUGCAGGAGUGGUUGGCAGAGAUGAAGGACACUCAUGGACGCUGAUCCACUGGCUGGGUGGAGGACGCUUUUAUUGUAUAUAGUUCUGUGAUCUGCCCUCUACUUGGACCGGUACCUUGGCGAGGUGUAGAGGCUUGCGUGUGCUGAAGACCCUCAGAGCUACAUUGCCUGCAGUCCUUGGACUGAGGUGAAGCACCAGACAAAAGCCGGUCCUGCAAUGGGAACAUUGAAUUGUCAAAAGUGUGCCCUUGGCUGCAUUUGUAAUGGACACUUUUUUUAUAUGGACACAGUAAAGCUCCCAGUGGUGUGCAUCAAUGUUUCCCAUUUUGUAUAGUGCUGUUACUUUAUGUCUAAAGUUCAGCAUAAUUAAGUACGUUUUUAAAACACAAUUGUAUUACAGUGAAGCAGCUUGUGCAUCAAUGUUUGGAUCAUUGCGUAUUGCAAUCAUUGUUUUAUCCAACAAAAUAAACUAGUAAUUGGAAAGGAAAUGCUUGUGAAAGGAAAUGCUUGUCUUGUUUCUGAAUUUAACAAUACUUGAUGUGAGUCUUUCAAAGUAGUCUUUGAAAGUGAGAAUGAUUUUCUUCCUUCUCAUGCAUACAAGUCAAAGCUUCAAAGCUUUUAAUGUCCUUCCUUCUCCUGCAUCACUGACUGUCUAGACAGGCAGGCAGGCAGGGAGGCAGGCAAGCAGUCAGUCACUGUCCCAAGCCAAUUAUCCCUGCCAAAUGUGUUUUGGAUUGUGUACUGCAAUCGCUGUUUUAUCUAACAAAAGUAACUAAAAAAGUCAUCAAUAGAGUCAGUGAAAAGCAAACUCUUUGUCUUUUUUAACUUUGUCUUUUUAUUUCAGUUAAUACAUUGCAUUGAUGUUCACAAUUACUACAUCUCUGUAUAAUUCAUUUCUGCUGCUGAAAUCUGUGUUGUAUAAGAAUAAAACAUACACAGAAAGCCAA